This 772-nucleotide ribosomal RNA is filed under the name uncultured Neocallimastigales. Its description in RNAcentral is "partial large subunit ribosomal RNA". It matches the Rfam family "Eukaryotic large subunit ribosomal RNA", at positions 24 to 629 of the family's 3401-position model. Lineage: Eukaryota; Fungi; Neocallimastigomycota; Neocallimastigomycetes; Neocallimastigales. The record is from RNAcentral.
GUAGUCUCGCACAGAUGCAUAUCAAUAAGCGGAGGAAAAGAAACUAACAAGGAUUCCCCUAGUAACGGCGAGUGAAGCGGGAAGAGCUCAAAUUUGAAAUCUUAAAGGGUUUCCCUUUACGAAUUGUAGUUUAAAGAAGUGUUUUCUGUUGAGGUUUUGGUAAAAGUUCUUUGGAAUAGGACAUCAUAGAGGGUGAGAAUCCCGUAUUUGACCUUUACUUUCAACUUUGUGAUACACUUUCAAAGAGUCGGAUUGUUUGGGAAUGCAGUCCAAAAUGGGUGGUAAAUUUCAUCUAAGCUAAAUAUUGGCGAGAGACCGAUAGCGAACAAGUACCGUGAGGGAAAGAUGAAAAGAACUUUGAAAAGAGAGUUAAACAGUACGUGAAAUUGUCAAAAGGGAAGCGUUUGACACCAGUGUUGUUUUCUGAAAAUCAAUUAAAGAACUGUUUAUGCUAAGCUGUUUAGACUUUAUCAGCUAUCUGUUUAGUUUUGAGCUUUUCUUUAAUGCACUUUUCAGUUAACAAGUCAACAUCAAUUUCUUUUGCUGUAAAAAAGCUUGAGGAAGGUGGCUUGAGAUUCGUCUUAAGUGUUUAUAGCCUCUUGCCUAUGCAGUCGGAGAGAUUGAGGUCUGCAGCGUAGAUCCUUCGGGGCUAAAUGCAUUUGUGCUAAGUUAUAGCAUUUUAUAGACAACUUGUUGACUAUGAUUUGUCUUGUAGCUUACUCGCUUAUGUUAUUUUACCUACGCUUAGGAUGUUGACAGCAGUAUAGACUGU